RNAcentral lists this ribosomal RNA (441 nucleotides) under uncultured bacterium. Its description in RNAcentral is "bacterial SSU rRNA". It matches the Rfam family "Bacterial small subunit ribosomal RNA", at positions 958 to 1397 of the family's 1533-position model. The record is from RNAcentral.
AACGCGAAGAACCUUACCUACCCUUGACAUCCUCGGAACCUGGUAGAGAUAUUGGGGUGCCUUCGGGAGCCGAGAGACAGGUGCUGCAUGGCUGUCGUCAGCUCGUGUCGUGAGAUGUUGGGUUAAGUCCCGUAACGAGCGCAACCCUUAUCCUUAGUUGCCAACAGGUAGAGCUGGGAACUCUAGGGAGACUGCCGGUGACAAGCCGGAGGAAGGCGGGGAUGACGUCAAGUCCUCAUGGCCCUUACGGGUAGGGCCACACACGUGUUACAAUGGACAGUACAAAGGGAAGCGAAGCUGUGAAGUGGAGCGAAUCUUAUAAAAGCUGUUCGUAGUCCGGAUUGGAGUCUGCAAUUCGACUCCAUGAAGUUGGAAUCGCUAGUAAUCGUGGAUCAGAACGCCACGGUGAAUACGUUCCCGGGCCUUGUACACACCGCGAGC